RNAcentral lists this small RNA (570 nucleotides) under Pan troglodytes (chimpanzee). Its description in RNAcentral is "retained intron". The record is from RNAcentral. Lineage: Eukaryota; Metazoa; Chordata; Mammalia; Primates; Hominidae.
CGACAAGAGAGAGCCCAGAGCUUACGUUUGAGAACUAUACGUUCUUCAUCCAUUAGUUAUAGUCAAGAGUCUGGAGCAGCAGCUGAUGAUAUAAAGCCAUGUCCACGAUGUGCUGCUUAUAUAAUAAAGAUGAAUGAUGGGAGCUGCAAUCACAUGACAUGUGCUGUUUGUGGUUGUGAGUUUUGUUGGUUGUGUAUGAAAGAAAUCUCAGAUUUGCAUUAUCUAAGUCCAUCAGGAUGUACUUUUUGGGGGAAGAAACCCUGGAGCCGAAAGAAGAAAAUAUUGUGGCAACUGGGAACACUGGUUGGUGCUCCUGUCGGAAUCGCUUUAAUAGCUGGCAUUGCUAUUCCUGCAAUGAUUAUUGGCAUUCCUGUGUAUGUGGGCCGCAAGGUAAAAUGCAUACUUCUUGUUAGUCCAUUAUCUUAUUCUAAAUCUUUAGGUGUAUUCUUUUAGUAUUGAUGAUUUUUGGGUUUUUUUUUUUUUUUUUUUUAGACAAAGGGUAUCUUUAGUUUCUUCAGUAUAAAACAGUUACUCUUUUUUCAUAAAUUUUUAGUGUUUGGCAAGCAUAUA